Non-coding RNA from Pelobates cultripes (western spadefoot toad), 251 nucleotides. The record is from the annotation of a GenBank genome assembly. NCBI's taxonomy places the organism in Eukaryota, Metazoa, Chordata, Amphibia, Anura, Pelobatidae.
GAAGGGGUGACUGGUGACAGAGUGAGGGAAUGACUAGUGACAGAGUGAGAGAGGGGGUGACUAGUGACCGAGUGAGGGAGGGAGAGGGUGACUAGUGACAGAGUGAGGAAGGGGGUGACACAGUGAUAGUCACCCCAUUCCUCCCUCUGUCACUAAUCACCACCUCCCUCACUCUCACUAGUCACCCCUUCCCUCCCUCACUCUGUCACUAGUCACACCCUCCCUCUCUCUGUCACUAGUCACACCCUUAC